RNAcentral lists this unclassified non-coding RNA (309 nucleotides) under uncultured fungus. RNAcentral describes it as "sequence contains ITS2". Lineage: Eukaryota; Fungi. The record is from RNAcentral.
AACGCAUAUUGCACUCUUUGGUAUUCCGAAGAGUAUGCCUGUUUCAGUAUCAUGAAAACCUCACAAAAUCUCUUUGGCUGUAAAAAGGUCAAAGUAAGAAAUUGUGGAUUUGAGCUUUUGCAACAAAAUUUUUUGAUGCAAGCUUUAAAUGAAUUUCUUGAUGGCUUAUGUGCUUUCGAAAUUUAGCUUUAUAGUUUUGGCUCUAAGUCAAAUCUUUAGCUUAUUUCAAGCCAAUUACUGUCUUGAGAACUUACGAACAAAUUUCAACAAUUUGAUCUGAAAUCAGGUAGGACUACCCGCUGAACUUAA